Molecule: long non-coding RNA, 546 nt
Organism: Cercocebus atys (sooty mangabey)
Lineage: Eukaryota; Metazoa; Chordata; Mammalia; Primates; Cercopithecidae
Source: Ensembl
UGUCAUUCUGGUCUCCCAGCCAUUCUUAGGAAGAGACGUGCCUGGCUCCGGGAAGGGGCAACUUCUCUGUUAAGUAAUGAAGAAAAAGCUCAAGAAGUGUCCUGAACAGCAGCAGCUGUGGGUGGGGAAUGUUGAAUGUCUGGGAGACUGAGAGCUGGCCCAAGUUUUUGAAUGAAGACUUCUGUGCUAAAGAGGAUCUAAGGUCUGUUACAUUUCCCAGAAUGGUUCCCAGUGCUGGAGAUAAUUCCUUUUCGGAGAACCUACAUUUCUCACCUGCUGAUUGCAAUUAGCCACUACCAGCUGGGGCCUGGUGUGCAGCUGAAAAGCUAACAAGAAGUGGAGACCACGCGGAACCCAGGCAGGGCAUAGGAUGUGCAUAAAUAAGCAACGGUGCCUGUGUUUAUGAGAUGCUCCUGUGAAUUCAAGGCUUCCCCACCCUCUGCAUAACUCUCCCUCUUCUGGCUUUGUGCUGCACACCCCUCCCCUAACUAUAUUUUUUGUCUCUGGUUUCGUAGCCUACACUUAACAUCACAGUCACGAAUUUAC